GGAGGUAUAGCUCAGGGGUAGAGCAUUUGACUGUAAAUCAAGAGAUUCCUGGUCAAAUCAGGAUGCCCUCU
Danio rerio (zebrafish) is the source of this 71-nucleotide non-coding RNA. Lineage: Eukaryota; Metazoa; Chordata; Actinopteri; Cypriniformes; Danionidae. The record is from Rfam.